Molecule: ribosomal RNA, 229 nt
Filed under: uncultured bacterium
Lineage: Bacteria
Description: partial 16S ribosomal RNA
Rfam family: Bacterial small subunit ribosomal RNA
Source: RNAcentral
CGCGUAGGCGGAUAUGUAAGUGUCAGGUGAAAACCCCCGGCUUAACCGGGGAACUGCCUGACAAACUGCAUAUCUUGAGUCAAGUAGGGGUGUGUGGAACUCUUGGUGGAGCGGUGGAAUGCGUAGAUAUCAAGAGGAAUGCCGAAGGUGAAGACAGCACACUGGGCUUGCACUGACGCUGAGGCGCGAAAGCGUGGGGAGCGAACAGGAUUAGAUACCCUGGUAGUCC